This 433-nucleotide ribosomal RNA is filed under the name uncultured bacterium. RNAcentral describes it as "partial 16S ribosomal RNA". It matches the Rfam family "Bacterial small subunit ribosomal RNA", at positions 29 to 507 of the family's 1533-position model. The record is from RNAcentral.
AACGAACGCUGGCGGCAUGCCUAACACAUGCAAGUCGAACGAGACCUUCGGGUCUAGUGGCGCACGGGUGCGUAACGCGUGGGAACCUGCCCUUAGGUUCGGAAUAACUCCCCGAAAGGGGUGCUAAUACCGGAUCAUGUCUUCUGACCAAAGAUUUAUCGCCUUUGGAUGGGCCCGCGUUGGAUUAGCUAGUUGGUAGGGUAAAAGCCUACCAAGGCGACGAUCCAUAGCUGGUCUGAGAGGAUGAUCAGCCACACUGGGACUGAGACACGGCCCAGACUCCUACGGGAGGCAGCAGUGGGGAAUAUUGGACAAUGGGCGAAAGCCUGAUCCAGCAAUGCCGCGUGAGUGAUGAAGGCAUUAGGGUUGUAAAGCUCUUUUACCCGGGAUGAUAAUGACAGUACCGGGAGAAUAAGCUCCGGCUAACUCCGUG